This 430-nucleotide ribosomal RNA is filed under the name Pseudomonadota bacterium. RNAcentral describes it as "Proteobacteria bacterium partial 16S ribosomal RNA". It matches the Rfam family "Bacterial small subunit ribosomal RNA", at positions 355 to 776 of the family's 1533-position model. Lineage: Bacteria; Pseudomonadati; Pseudomonadota. The record is from RNAcentral.
UGGGGAAUAUUGGACAAUGGGGGGAACCCUGAUCCAGCCAUGCCGCGUGUGUGAAGAAGGCCUUAUGGUUGUAAAGCACUUCAAGCGAGGAGGAGGGUACUGGUAUUAAUACUACCAGGUACUGGACGUUACUCGCAGAAUAAGCACCGGCUAACUCUGUGCCAGCAGCCGCGGUAAUACAGAGGGUGCGAGCGUUAAUCGGAUUUACUGGGCGUAAAGCGUGCGUAGGCGGCUAAUUGAGUCGGAUGUGAAAUCCCCGAGCUUAACUUGGGAAUUGCAUUCGAUACUGGUUAGCUAGAGUGUGGGAGAGGAUGGUAGAAUUCCAGGUGUAGCGGUGAAAUGCGUAGAGAUCUGGAGGAAUACCGAUGGCGAAGGCAGCCAUCUGGCCUAACACUGACGCUGAGGUACGAAAGCAUGGGGAGCAAACAGG